GCUAUGCCAGAUCCUUGUUAAUAAUUGAAGGAAUGCUAUGUUAGUUGAACUUUGCAGUUUUUGCCCGGGAUUUAUUACAUGGUAUAAAUCAGAGAACUUGUGACUUGAGGUCUCAAAGCUGUUGCUCCCGAAGAAAGUAAUAGCUGCCCUCCUCUCUCCUCCCCAUAGGUGAUUUUCUAUACUUUCUUAUAUAUUCCAUCUAGUAAUUAUCUUCCUCAUUGCAUUUUGUUACUUGCUCUGUAAGGAAGAAUUUUAUGUCUUUGAUAAUCCUUAUCUCCUUUUUGUUGCUAGAUUUUCUUCUGUGUCCUUGAUCAGUGAGUAUCACUGUUAAAGAUUCAGAAGCAUCAUGACAUGACAAUGAUUUCUUUUUCAUUCCCUUCUACUCCUAUUUCUAUUUCCAUUUCCACUUCACCCUUCUUUCCUAUCCCUUCUGAGACUCUUUAAGUACCUUUAAUGAGACAAUUUAUUAUAUUCUGGCCUGUGUGGCAAAACCAGUUCUCAGCCUGUUGGCCUUCCAGGAGCUCUGCAUAAGCCAUUGCUUCUGAGAAAGAGUGCACUACAGGGUGUCUUCCUGCAGAUUCGCUGCACUGAGGAACACACAGGGGAAAAUAAUGACCCUACCUGAAAAAAACAAACAAAGGGAGUCUUUCCAGGCUAAAAGUGACUGGUGUGCCAUGACACGUGUUCAUUUUUCAGGUGGCUGUAAAACAUCUACUGAAGUGGCCAUGGACUCUUACUAUGAUCUUCAGAUUUUAAAGCCAAAAAGAAGCAAUUUUUAGAACUAGUAUUUGUUUUUACAGAACAGUGAUCGGCAGUGUUGAAGAGUGCAGUGAUGCAAUGCCAUACAAAGCUUUAUCUCAAGAAAUGGAUUCAACAGCCUUGCCUUUCCGUAUUAAAUUUUAGAGAUUUGAGAAAAAUCACCGGACUUCCACCCAGCAGAAAUCAGGUGAAAGCUUCUUCACUGGCAGACAAGGAAGAGAGGACUUGAGAAAGAGUUGUAGAAUCAUUGAGUAUCCCGAGGUGGAAGAGACUCAUAAGCAUCACUGAGUUAAAACACAAUCAGGACCCAUGACAGCAGGGCUGACUCAGCUGCUUAGCAUGGAAAAUCACCAAAAAUAUUCCACCCUGAGAGCUGAUAAAAGACACAAAGCACUUAAAAAGCCUCAGAUGUAAGAAGUGCCAAAGUCACUUCUGUUGGCAGGCUUUGAAGAUAACUGGCCAUCAGUCAGAAGAUGACUAAAGAAGACACGCUUGCAUCUGGUAAUGCAACAAAACUUCCUCAGUGCUUCUUUCCUCCUCCUCCUGCUGUGCAGGGUGAUGUGGAGCAGCUGCCUCUGUGGCUGCUCUCUGUGCUUAUCAUGUGCAAGCAGUUAAACACUUCCCAGCGUGGAGAAGCGGUGCAGUCUCCUUGGCUGAAAUCUGCCUCCUGCAUGGCAAUGCAGAGGGGGAGGGAGGGCUGGGCUGAGGCAGCCUCACACCUUCACCAUUUCAUGCCUGAUCAGUUGCACCCCACUGUGCUGGAAAAUAUGUUAUGCCAAACUAAUCCUAUUCUGAGAAAACAUUUCAGGGGCAACUGCCAUACCUGUGAUAUUUCAAAUACGAGUUUGGAAUUCACACCUUAUCAGGAAGAGCACACUGACUUUCGUAGUAGUUGUCUGGUGAGUUUGGGUACAGCAGCACAAAUGUUUACUUACACCGUGUUCAGAGAUGAUAAACCACAGCUGCUAACAGAUUGCUAAUUAAAUCUUAGUUAAGCUUUGUCCUUCCCGCCUUUGUGCAAACCUUUAGCAUUUAAGAAUGCAAUUUGCAUGCACAGAGGCAGCAAAGGAAGCGCUGUUUUGGUAAUAAGAUGAGGAGGUGCUCUCUCCACAUUCAGGCUUUAUCUGCCACAGAGGUGCUGGUUCCUGGGAUUCAUUGCUGCUGCUUAUUCAGGCGCUCAGAGGUUUGUGCUGCAUAUUAAUUUCUGUCCAACACGGGAAUUCAAUUUGUGCCGUACAUUUCAUUUCUUCACAGAUUUAGAUUUAUUUCAUGUUCUCUGCUUUUAAUUAACUCUCUGGCACAGCUGCUGGACAGGAUAUAAAAACUCAUUGCUCUCCCCGCGCUGUGUGUACACCACCAAUCAUUUGCCACUUAGAUGGUGGUGCAGGAGCAAUCAGUUUCCAUGGCAACCCAGGCCCCAUUGAUUGAUUCCUUGCCAGUGUGGCAUCACCACGCGGAGCGAGGCUUGUGAUUUUUGCAUGCGUGCAACAUCCAUCUAAUUAAAAUGGGAUUAGAGAUUCAUCCCUGUAUGUGUUCAACAACUGCACUGCAAUCCAUUUAUGUAAAUGUCAACUCUAUUCAGCACCGUCAUCGGAGUGUUGAUGAAGAAACAGUUGCUUUGCUUCAGUAUCUUGCAGUGGGUGGGGGAAAUGGAAAGAGUAAAAUGUACACAGCCUUUUUUUGGCUAUUAGAAAAAAAUAAUAAAAUAAAGCCAUUCACUGAUGCUCAAAAGUUAUGAAAAUAGUAACCUGUUUCCAAAUCUGCAUUAGAACCCUGGGUAGCAAAGAUGGAAGAGCUCUUCUGGCUGUGCUGAUGUGCUGGUGGCUCACCCAGGAAAAUGUGUUGAGCCUGUCCAGGAAAAUCAUUAAUUAAUUUAGCAUGCAUGAAUUAUUUAUUUGCCAAAAGCUUUUAAUUCCUAUGAUUGAUUUGCAUUCAGUCGCACCUCCUGAGAGCAAAGUAAUCCUGGUGCUCUCAUAAUUGUCCUUCAGUAGAGCAUUCCUCAAGCCUUAUAGUGGUUACUUGAAAAUUUGUGAGGCUUUUGCAGAUUAGGUGAGUUGACAGAUCUAUAGCAUACAAGGAGGCUCCAGAUGAAAGGAGAAACUCAGGGAUUUUUUGGAGGGUUAAAAAAGAAGCCAGGUCCAUCAGGGAAUUGCUAGAUGUAAAUUAGAAGAAAAAACAGAAAUGAAUGGACGCUUGGUGACUGAUCUGUUAGAAUUUUUUCUUAAUAUGUCAUCAUUUUUUCCACAUACCAUUGACAAAAUAAUCUGUUAACAUGAAAAGUGGC
Molecule: long non-coding RNA, 3043 nt
Organism: Gallus gallus (chicken)
Lineage: Eukaryota; Metazoa; Chordata; Aves; Galliformes; Phasianidae
Source: Ensembl